This 398-nucleotide ribosomal RNA is filed under the name Finegoldia sp. oral taxon D24. RNAcentral's name for it is "bacterial SSU rRNA". It matches the Rfam family "Bacterial small subunit ribosomal RNA", at positions 66 to 457 of the family's 1533-position model. Lineage: Bacteria; Bacillati; Bacillota; Tissierellia; Tissierellales; Peptoniphilaceae. The record is from RNAcentral.
GUAGACAGAAGCCUCGGUGGAAGAUUACUAAUGAGAGUGGCGAACGGGUGAGUAACGCGUGAGCAACCUGCCUAUGACAGUGGGAUAGCCUCGGGAAACCGGGAUUAAUACCGCAUAAAAUCGUAGAAACACAUGUUUUAACGGUCAAAGAUUUAUCGGUCAUAGAUGGGCUCGCGUCUGAUUAGCUAGUUGGUGAGAUAACAGCCCACCAAGGCGACGAUCAGUAGCCGGUCUGAGAGGAUGAACGGCCACAUUGGAACUGAGACACGGUCCAAACUCCUACGGGAGGCAGCAGUGGGGAAUAUUGCACAAUGGGGGAAACCCUGAUGCAGCGACGCCGCGUGAACGAAGAAGGUAUUCGUAUCGUAAAGUUCUGUCCUAUGGGAAGAUAAUGACAU